Molecule: ribosomal RNA, 456 nt
Filed under: uncultured bacterium
Lineage: Bacteria
Description: bacterial SSU rRNA
Rfam family: Bacterial small subunit ribosomal RNA
Source: RNAcentral
CCAGCUGAUAGUAGCAGAGAGGAAGGGACGGCUAACUCUGUGCCAGCAGCCGCGGUAAUACAGAGGUCCCAAGCGUUGUUCGGAUUCACUGGGCGUAAAGGGGUGCGUAGGCGGUGGGGUAAGUUUGAGGUGAAAUCUCCGGGCUCAACCCGGACAAGCCUUGAAUACUAUCCUGCUAGAGGAUCGGAGGGGAGACUGGAAUUCUCGGUGUAGCAGUGAAAUGCGUAGAUAUCGAGAGGAACACCAGUGGCGAAGGCGAGUCUCUGGACGAUACCUGACGCUGAGGCACGAAAGCCAGGGGAGCAAACGGGAUUAGAUACCCCGGUAGUCCUGGCCCUAAACGGUGCGCACUUGCUGUGGGCGGAUUCGACCCCGCCCGUGGCGAAGGAAACCCGAUAAGUGCGCCGCCUGGGGAGUACGGUCGCAAGAUUAAAACUCAAAGAAAUUGACGGGGGC